AAUAGAUACCCGGGUAGUCCACGCCGUAAACGAUGAGUGCUAAGUGUUAGAGGGUUUCCGCCCUUUAGUGCUGCAGCUAACGCAUUAAGCAUUCCGCCUGGGGAGUACGGCCGCAAGGCUGAAACUCAAAGGAAUUGACGGGGGCCCGCACAAGCGGUGGAGCAUGUGGUUUAAUUCGAAGCAACGCGAAGAACCUUACCAGGUCUUGACAUCCUCUGCCAACCCUAGAGAUAGGGCGUUCCCCUUCGGGGGACAGAGUGACAGGUGGUGCAUGGUUGUCGUCAGCUCGUGUCGUGAGAUGUUGGGUUAAGUCCCGCAACGAGCGCAACCCUUGAUCUUAGUUGCCAGCAUUCAGUUGGGCACUCUAAGGUGACUGCCGGUGACAAACCGGAGGAAGGUGGGGAUGACGUCAAAUCAUCAUGCCCCUUAUGACCUGGGCUGCACACGUGCUACAAUGGAUGGUACAAAGAGCUGCGAACCCGCGAGGGUAAGCGAAUCUCAUAAAGCCAUUCUCAGUUCGGAUUGUAGG
This 529-nucleotide ribosomal RNA is filed under the name uncultured bacterium. Its description in RNAcentral is "bacterial SSU rRNA". It matches the Rfam family "Bacterial small subunit ribosomal RNA", at positions 777 to 1304 of the family's 1533-position model. The record is from RNAcentral.